AAGUCGAGCGAACAGAUAAGGAGCUUGCUCCUUUGACGUUAGCGGCGGACGGGUGAGUAACACGUGGGUAACCUACCUAUAAGACUGGGAUAACUUCGGGAAACCGGAGCUAAUACCGGAUAACAUUUGGAACCGCAUGGUUCUAAAGUGAAAGAUGGUUUUGCUAUCACUUAUAGAUGGACCCGCGCCGUAUUAGCUAGUUGGUAAGGUAACGGCUUACCAAGGCAACGAUACGUAGCCGACCUGAGAGGGUGAUCGGCCACACUGGAACUGAGACACGGUCCAGACUCCUACGGGAGGCAGCAGUAGGGAAUCUUCCGCAAUGGGCGAAAGCCUGACGGAGCAACGCCGCGUGAGUGAUGAAGGGUUUCGGCUCGUAAAACUCUGUUAUUAGGGAAGAACAAAUGUGUAAGUAACUGUGCACAUCUUGACGGUACCUAAUCAGAAAGCCACGGCUAACUACGUGCCAGCAGCCGCGGUAAUACGUAGGUGGCAAGCGUUAUCCGGAAUUAUUGGGCGUAAAGCGCGCGUAGGCGGUUUCUUAAGUCUGAUGUGAAAGCCCACGGCUCAACCGUGGAGGGUCAUUGGAAACUGGGAAACUUGAGUGCAGAAGAGGAAAGUGGAAUUCCAUGUGUAGCGGUGAAAUGCGCAGAGAUAUGGAGGAACACCAGUGGCGAAGGCGACUUUCUGGUCUGUAACUGACGCUGAUGUGCGAAAGCGUGGGGAUCAAACAGGAUUAGAUACCCUGGUAGUCCACGCCGUAAACGAUGAGUGCUAAGUGUUAGGGGGUUUCCGCCCCUUAGUGCUGCAGCUAACGCAUUAAGCACUCCGCCUGGGGAGUACGACCGCAAGGUUGAAACUCAAAGGAAUUGACGGGGACCCGCACAAGCGGUGGAGCAUGUGGUUUAAUUCGAAGCAACGCGAAGAACCUUACCAAAUCUUGACAUCCUUUGAAAACUCUAGAGAUAGAGCCUUCCCCUUCGGGGGACAAAGUGACAGGUGGUGCAUGGUUGUCGUCAGCUCGUGUCGUGAGAUGUUGGGUUAAGUCCCGCAACGAGCGCAACCCUUAAGCUUAGUUGCCAUCAUUAAGUUGGGCACUCUAGGUUGACUGCCGGUGACAAACCGGAGGAAGGUGGGGAUGACGUCAAAUCAUCAUGCCCCUUAUGAUUUGGGCUACACACGUGCUACAAUGGACAAUACAAAGGGCAGCUAAACCGCGAGGUCAUGCAAAUCCCAUAAAGUUGUUCUCAGUUCGGAUUGUAGUCUGCAACUCGACUACAUGAAGCUGGAAUCGCUAGUAAUCGUAGAUCAGCAUGCUACGGUGAAUACGUUCCCGGGUCUUGUACACACCGCCCGUCACACCACGAGAGUUUGUAACACCCGAAGCCGGUGGAGUAACCAUUUAUGGAGC
Molecule: ribosomal RNA, 1411 nt
Filed under: Staphylococcus pseudoxylosus
Lineage: Bacteria; Bacillati; Bacillota; Bacilli; Caryophanales; Staphylococcaceae
Description: bacterial SSU rRNA
Rfam family: Bacterial small subunit ribosomal RNA
Source: RNAcentral